This 454-nucleotide ribosomal RNA is filed under the name uncultured Fibrobacter sp. RNAcentral's name for it is "partial 16S ribosomal RNA". It matches the Rfam family "Bacterial small subunit ribosomal RNA", at positions 341 to 792 of the family's 1533-position model. The record is from RNAcentral. Lineage: Bacteria; Pseudomonadati; Fibrobacterota; Fibrobacteria; Fibrobacterales; Fibrobacteraceae.
ACGGGAGGCAGCAGUGAGGAAUAUUGGUCAAUGGACGGAAGUCUGAACCAGCCAUGCCGCGUGCAGGAAUAAGGCCCUAUGGGUCGUAAACUGCUUUUGUGGUGGAGCAAUAAGGCGUACGUGUACGUCGAUGAGAGUACAUCACGAAUAAGCAUCGGCUAACUCCGUGCCAGCAGCCGCGGUAAUACGAGGGGUGCAAGCGUUGUUCGGAAUCACUGGGCGUAAAGGGAGCGCAGGCGGAGAUGCAAGCAGUCUGUACAAUACCGGGGCCCAACCCCGGACCUGCAGACUGGACUGUUUCUCUUGGAUAGUUCAGGGGCAAGCGGAAUUCCUGGUGUAGCGGUGGAAUGCGUAGAGAUCAGGAAGAACACCGAUGGCGAAGGCAGCUUGCUGGGGACUUAUCGACGCUCAUGCUCGAAAGUGCGGGUAGCAAACAGGAUUAGAUACCCUGGUA